AGGGACGUAGCUCAGUGGUGGAGUGCUUACCUGACGUGCAUGAAGCCCUGGGUUCAAUACCCAGCACCUCAA
This 72-nucleotide transfer RNA is filed under the name Marmota monax (woodchuck). It matches the Rfam family "tRNA". From Rfam's summary of the family: Transfer RNA (tRNA) molecules are approximately 80 nucleotides in length. Their secondary structure includes four short double-helical elements and three loops (D, anti-codon, and T loops). Further hydrogen bonds mediate the characteristic L-shaped molecular structure. tRNAs have two regions of fundamental functional importance: the anti-codon, which is responsible for specific mRNA codon recognition, and the 3' end, to which the tRNAs corresponding amino acid is attached (by aminoacyl-tRNA synthetases). tRNAs cope with the degeneracy of the genetic code in two manners: having more than one tRNA (with a specific anti-codon) for a particular amino acid; and 'wobble' base-pairing, i.e. permitting non-standard base-pairing at the 3rd anti-codon position. The record is from Rfam by way of RNAcentral. Lineage: Eukaryota; Metazoa; Chordata; Mammalia; Rodentia; Sciuridae.